RNAcentral lists this ribosomal RNA (466 nucleotides) under uncultured bacterium. Its description in RNAcentral is "partial 16S ribosomal RNA". It matches the Rfam family "Bacterial small subunit ribosomal RNA", at positions 28 to 507 of the family's 1533-position model. The record is from RNAcentral.
GACGAACGCUGGCGGCGUGCUUAACACAUGCAAGUCGAACGGUAAGGCUCCAGCUUGCUGGGGUACACGAGUGGCGAACGGGUGAGUAACACGUGGGUGACCUGCCCUGCACUUCGGGAUAAGCCUGGGAAACUGGGUCUAAUACCGGAUAGGACCAUGGUGUGGAUACUGUGGUGGAAAGUUUUUUCGGUGUGGGACGGGCCCGCGGCCUAUCAGCUUGUUGGUGGGGUAAUGGCCUACCAAGGCGGCGACGGGUAGCCGGCCUGAGAGGGUGGACGGCCACAUUGGGACUGAGACACGGCCCAGACUCCUACGGGAGGCAGCAGUGGGGAAUAUUGCACAAUGGGCGGAAGCCUGAUGCAGCGACGCCGCGUGGGGGAUGACGGCCUUCGGGUUGUAAACUCCUUUCACCAUCGACGAAGGGUUUCUGACGGUAGAUGGAGAAGAAGCACCGGCUAACUACGUG